GACCUGGCUCAGGAUGAACGCUAGCUACAGGCCUAACACAUGCAAGUCGAGGGGCAGCAUGGUCUUAGCUUGCUAAGGCCGAUGGCGACCGGCGCACGGGUGAGUAACACGUAUCCAACCUGCCGUCUACUCUUGGACAGCCUUCUGAAAGGAAGAUUAAUACAAGAUGGCAUCAUGAGUUCACAUGUUCACAUGAUUAAAGGUAUUCCGGUAGACGAUGGGGAUGCG
RNAcentral lists this ribosomal RNA (228 nucleotides) under uncultured bacterium. RNAcentral describes it as "partial 16S ribosomal RNA". It matches the Rfam family "Bacterial small subunit ribosomal RNA", at positions 16 to 235 of the family's 1533-position model. The record is from RNAcentral.